This 207-nucleotide ribosomal RNA is filed under the name uncultured Verrucomicrobiota bacterium. Its description in RNAcentral is "uncultured Verrucomicrobia bacterium partial 16S ribosomal RNA". It matches the Rfam family "Bacterial small subunit ribosomal RNA", at positions 568 to 774 of the family's 1533-position model. Lineage: Bacteria; Pseudomonadati; Verrucomicrobiota. The record is from RNAcentral.
CGCGUAGGCGGCCGUGUGUGUCGGGUGUGAAAUCCAUGGGCUCAACCCAUGAAGUGCGCCCGAAACUGCACGGCUUGAGUGCGGGAGGGGAGAUCGGAAUGCAGGGUGUAGCGGUGAAAUGCGUUGAUAUCCUGCAGAACACCGGUGGCGAAGGCGGAUCUCUGGAACGCAACUGACGCUGAGGCGCGAAAGCAGGGGGAGCAAACA